Molecule: ribosomal RNA, 574 nt
Filed under: uncultured bacterium
Lineage: Bacteria
Description: bacterial SSU rRNA
Rfam family: Bacterial small subunit ribosomal RNA
Source: RNAcentral
UGGCGGCGUGCCUAACACAUGCAAGUCGAACGAGAAAGUGGAGCAAUCCAUGAGUAAAGUGGCGACCGGGUGAGUAACACGUGACUAACCUACCUCCGAGUGGGGAAUAACUCCGGGAAACCGGGGCUAAUACCGCAUAACAUCGCAAGAUCAAAGCAGCAAUGCGCUUGGAGAGGGGGUCGCGGCUGAUUAGCUCGUUGGCGGGGUAACGGCCCACCAAGGCGAAGAUCGGUAUCCGGCCUGAGAGGGCGCACGGACACACUGGAACUGAAACACGGUCCAGACUCCUACGGGAGGCAGCAGUGGGGAAUUUUGCGCAAUGGGGGAAACCCUGACGCAGCAACGCCGCGUGGAGGAUGAAGCCCUUUGGGGCGUAAACUCCUUUCGACUCGGACGAUAAUGACGGUACGAGUGGAAGAAGCACCGGCUAACUCUGUGCCAGCAGCCGCGGUAAUACAGAGGGUGCGAGCGUUGUUCGGAAUUAUUGGGCGUAAAGGGCGCGUAGGCGGUGCGGUAAGUCACCUGUGAAAUCUCCUGNCUUAACUGGGAGCCUGCAGGCGAAACUACCGUGCUG